AGCGUACACGGUGGAUGCCCUGGCAGUCAGAGGCGAUGAAGGACGUGCUAAUCUGCGAUAAGCGUCGGUAAGGUGAUAUGAACCGUUAUAACCGGCGAUUUCCGAAUGGGGAAACCCAGUGUGUUUCGACACACUAUCAUUAACUGAAUCCAUAGGUUAAUGAGGCGAACCGGGGGAACUGAAACAUCUAAGUACCCCGAGGAAAAGAAAUCAACCGAGAUUCCCCCAGUAGCGGCGAGCGAACGGGGAGGAGCCCAGAGCCUGAAUCAGUGUGUGUGUUAGUGGAAGCGUCUGGAAAGGCGCGCGAUACAGGGUGACAGCCCCGUACACAAAAAUGCACAUACUGUGAGCUCGAUGAGUAGGGCGGGACACGUGGUAUCCUGUCUGAAUAUGGGGGGACCAUCCUCCAAGGCUAAAUACUCCUGACUGACCGAUAGUGAACCAGUACCGUGAGGGAAAGGCGAAAAGAACCCCGGCGAGGGGAGUGAAAAAGAACCUGAAACCGUGUACGUACAAGCAGUGGGAGCCUCUUUUAUGGGGUGACUGCGUACCUUUUGUAUAAUGGGUCAGCGACUUAUAUUCUGUAGCAAGGUUAACCGAAUAGGGGAGCCGAAGGGAAACCGAGUCUUAACUGGGCGUUAAGUUGCAGGGUAUAGACCCGAAACCCGGUGAUCUAGCCAUGGGCAGGUUGAAGGUUGGGUAACACUAACUGGAGGACCGAACCGACUAAUGUUGAAAAAUUAGCGGAUGACUUGUGGCUGGGGGUGAAAGGCCAAUCAAACCGGGAGAUAGCUGGUUCUCCCCGAAAGCUAUUUAGGUAGCGCCUCGUGAAUUCAUCUCCGGGGGUAGAGCACUGUUUCGGCAAGGGGGUCAUCCCGACUUACCAACCCGAUGCAAACUGCGAAUACCGGAGAAUGUUAUCACGGGAGACACACGGCGGGUGCUAACGUCCGUCGUGAAGAGGGAAACAACCCAGACCGCCAGCUAAGGUCCCAAAGUCAUGGUUAAGUGGGAAACGAUGUGGGAAGGCCCAGACAGCCAGGAUGUUGGCUUAGAAGCAGCCAUCAUUUAAAGAAAGCGUAAUAGCUCACUGGUCGAGUCGGCCUGCGCGGAAGAUGUAACGGGGCUAAACCAUGCACCGAAGCUGCGGCAGCGACGCUUAUGCGUUGUUGGGUAGGGGAGCGUUCUGUAAGCCUGUGAAGGUGUACUGUGAGGUAUGCUGGAGGUAUCAGAAGUGCGAAUGCUGACAUAAGUAACGAUAAAGCGGGUGAAAAGCCCGCUCGCCGGAAGACCAAGGGUUCCUGUCCAACGUUAAUCGGGGCAGGGUGAGUCGACCCCUAAGGCGAGGCCGAAAGGCGUAGUCGAUGGGAAACAGGUUAAUAUUCCUGUACUUGGUGUUACUGCGAAGGGGGGACGGAGAAGGCUAUGUUGGCCGGGCGACGGUUGUCCCGGUUUAAGCGUGUAGGCUGGUUUUCCAGGCAAAUCCGGAAAAUCAAGGCUGAGGCGUGAUGACGAGGCACUACGGUGCUGAAGCAACAAAUGCCCUGCUUCCAGGAAAAGCCUCUAAGCAUCAGGUAACAUCAAAUCGUACCCCAAACCGACACAGGUGGUCAGGUAGAGAAUACCAAGGCGCUUGAGAGAACUCGGGUGAAGGAACUAGGCAAAAUGGUGCCGUAACUUCGGGAGAAGGCACGCUGAUAUGUAGGUGAAGCGACUUGCUCGUGGAGCUGAAAUCAGUCGAAGAUACCAGCUGGCUGCAACUGUUUAUUAAAAACACAGCACUGUGCAAACACGAAAGUGGACGUAUACGGUGUGACGCCUGCCCGGUGCCGGAAGGUUAAUUGAUGGGGUUAGCGGUAACGCGAAGCUCUUGAUCGAAGCCCCGGUAAACGGCGGCCGUAACUAUAACGGUCCUAAGGUAGCGAAAUUCCUUGUCGGGUAAGUUCCGACCUGCACGAAUGGCGUAAUGAUGGCCAGGCUGUCUCCACCCGAGACUCAGUGAAAUUGAACUCGCUGUGAAGAUGCAGUGUACCCGCGGCAAGACGGAAAGACCCCGUGAACCUUUACUAUAGCUUGACACUGAACAUUGAGCCUUGAUGUGUAGGAUAGGUGGGAGGCUUUGAAGUGUGGACGCCAGUCUGCAUGGAGCCGACCUUGAAAUACCACCCUUUAAUGUUUGAUGUUCUAACGUUGGCCCCUGAUCGGGGUUGCGGACAGUGUCUGGUGGGUAGUUUGACUGGGGCGGUCUCCUCCUAAAGAGUAACGGAGGAGCACGAAGGUUGGCUAAUCCUGGUCGGACAUCAGGAGGUUAGUGCAAUGGCAUAAGCCAGCUUGACUGCGAGCGUGACGGCGCGAGCAGGUGCGAAAGCAGGUCAUAGUGAUCCGGUGGUUCUGAAUGGAAGGGCCAUCGCUCAACGGAUAAAAGGUACUCCGGGGAUAACAGGCUGAUACCGCCCAAGAGUUCAUAUCGACGGCGGUGUUUGGCACCUCGAUGUCGGCUCAUCACAUCCUGGGGCUGAAGUAGGUCCCAAGGGUAUGGCUGUUCGCCAUUUAAAGUGGUACGCGAGCUGGGUUUAGAACGUCGUGAGACAGUUCGGUCCCUAUCUGCCGUGGGCGCUGGAGAACUGAGGGGGGCUGCUCCUAGUACGAGAGGACCGGAGUGGACGCAUCACUGGUGUUCGGGUUGUCAUGCCAAUGGCACUGCCCGGUAGCUAAAUGCGGAAGAGAUAAGUGCUGAAAGCAUCUAAGCACGAAACUUGCCCCGAGAUGAGUUCU
This 2775-nucleotide ribosomal RNA is filed under the name Escherichia coli. RNAcentral describes it as "bacterial LSU rRNA". It matches the Rfam family "Bacterial large subunit ribosomal RNA". The record is from RNAcentral. Lineage: Bacteria; Pseudomonadati; Pseudomonadota; Gammaproteobacteria; Enterobacterales; Enterobacteriaceae.